UAUUAGGUUGGAGCAACAGUAAUUGUGGUUUUUGCCAUUAAAAGUGAUGGCAAAAACCGCAAUUACUGUUGCUCCAACCUAAUA
Homo sapiens (human) is the source of this 84-nucleotide microRNA precursor. It matches the Rfam family "mir-548 microRNA precursor family". Lineage: Eukaryota; Metazoa; Chordata; Mammalia; Primates; Hominidae. The record is from Rfam.